CGGACCGGCGCACGGGUGAGUAACACGUACCCAACCUGCCGUCUACUCUUGGCCAGCCUUCUGAAAGGAAGAUUAAUCCAGGAUGGGAUCAUGAGUUCACAUGUCCGCAUGAUUAAAGGUAUUUUCCGGUAGACGAUGGGGAUGCGUUCCAUUAGAUAGUAGGCGGGGUAACGGCCCACCUAGUCAACGAUGGAUAGGGGUUCUGAGAGGAAGGUCCCCCACAUUGGAACUGAGACACGGUCCAA
RNAcentral lists this ribosomal RNA (245 nucleotides) under uncultured bacterium. RNAcentral describes it as "partial 16S ribosomal RNA". It matches the Rfam family "Bacterial small subunit ribosomal RNA", at positions 91 to 334 of the family's 1533-position model. The record is from RNAcentral.